Molecule: ribosomal RNA, 397 nt
Filed under: uncultured bacterium
Lineage: Bacteria
Description: bacterial SSU rRNA
Rfam family: Bacterial small subunit ribosomal RNA
Source: RNAcentral
UAUUGCACAAUGGGGGAAACCCUGAUGCAGCGACGCCGCGUGAGCGAAGAAGUAUUUCGGUAUGUAAAGCUCUAUCAGCAGGGAAGAAGAUGACGGUACCUGACUAAGAAGCUCCGGCUAAAUACGUGCCAGCAGCCGCGGGAAUAAGUAUGGAGCAAGCGUUAUCCGGAUUUACUGGGUGUAAAGGGAGCGUAGGCGGCGUGGGAAGUCUGGUGUGAAAAACCGGGGCCCAACCCCGGGACUGCAUUGGAAACUGCCAGGCUGGAGUGUCGGAGGGGCGGGCGGGAUUCCUAGUGUAGCGGUGAAAUGCGUAGAUAUUAGGAGGAACACCGGUGGCGAAGGCGGCCUGCUGGACGACAACUGACGCUGAGGCUCGAAAGCGUGGGGAGCAAACAGG